This 422-nucleotide ribosomal RNA is filed under the name uncultured bacterium. RNAcentral describes it as "bacterial SSU rRNA". It matches the Rfam family "Bacterial small subunit ribosomal RNA", at positions 355 to 774 of the family's 1533-position model. The record is from RNAcentral.
UAAGGAAUAUUGGUCAAUGGACGCAAGUCUGAACCAGCCAUGCCGCGUGAAGGAUUAAGGCCCUCUGGGUUGUAAACUUCUUUUAUAGGGGAAGAAAUGCGACGGUUCUCCGUCACUUGUCGGUACCCUGGGAAUAAGCACCGGCUAACUCCGUGCCAGCAGCCGCGGUAAUACGGAGGGUGCAAGCGUUAUCCGGAUUCGCUGGGUUUAAAGGGUGCGUAGGUGGGCAGAUAAGUCAGUGGUGAAAUCUUCCGGCUUAACCGGGAAACUGCCGUUGAUACUAUUUGUCUUGAAUAUUGCGGAGGUAAGCGGAAUAUGUCAUGUAGCGGUGAAAUGCUUAGAUAUGACAUAGAACACCAAUUGCGAAGGCAGCUUACUACACAAUCAUUGACACUGAGGCACGAAAGCGUGGGUAGCGAACA